RNAcentral lists this ribosomal RNA (1372 nucleotides) under uncultured bacterium. Its description in RNAcentral is "bacterial SSU rRNA". It matches the Rfam family "Bacterial small subunit ribosomal RNA", at positions 28 to 1381 of the family's 1533-position model. The record is from RNAcentral.
GAUGAACGCUGGCGGCGUGCCUAACACAUGCAAGUCGAGCGAACGGACGAGAAGCUUGCUUCUCUGACGUUAGCGGCGGACGGGUGAGUAACACGUGGAUAACCUACCUAUAAGACUGGGAUAACUUCGGGAAACCGGAGCUAAUACCGGAUAAUAUUUUGAACCGCAUGGUUCAAAAGUAAAAGACGGUCUUGCUGUCACUUAUAGAUGGAUCCGCGCUGCAUUAGCUAGUUGGUAAGGUAACGGCUUACCAAGGCAACGAUGCAUAGCCGACCUGAGAGGGUGAUCGGCCACACUGGAACUGAGACACGGUCCAGACUCCUACGGGAGGCAGCAGUAGGGAAUCUUCCGCAAUGGGCGAAAGCCUGACGGAGCAACGCCGCGUGAGUGAUGAAGGUCUUCGGAUCGUAAAACUCUGUUAUUAGGGAAGAACAUAUGUGUAAGUAACUGUGCACAUCUUGACGGUACCUAAUCAGAAAGCCACGGCUAACUACGUGCCAGCAGCCGCGGUAAUACGUAGGUGGCAAGCGUUAUCCGGAAUUAUUGGGCGUAAAGCGCGCGUAGGCGGUUUUUUAAGUCUGAUGUGAAAGCCCACGGCUCAACCGUGGAGGGUCAUUGGAAACUGGAAAACUUGAGUGCAGAAGAGGAAAGUGGAAUUCCAUGUGUAGCGGUGAAAUGCGCAGAGAUAUGGAGGAACACCAGUGGCGAAGGCGACUUUCUGGUCUGUAACUGACGCUGAUGUGCGAAAGCGUGGGGAUCAAACAGGAUUAGAUACCCUGGUAGUCCACGCCGUAAACGAUGAGUGCUAAGUGUUAGGGGGUUUCCGCCCCUUAGUGCUGCAGCUAACGCAUUAAGCACUCCGCCUGGGGAGUACGACCGCAAGGUUGAAACUCAAAGGAAUUGACGGGGACCCGCACAAGCGGUGGAGCAUGUGGUUUAAUUCGAAGCAACGCGAAGAACCUUACCAAAUCUUGACAUCCUUUGACAACUCUAGAGAUAGAGCCUUCCCCUUCGGGGGACAAAGUGACAGGUGGUGCAUGGUUGUCGUCAGCUCGUGUCGUGAGAUGUUGGGUUAAGUCCCGCAACGAGCGCAACCCUUAAGCUUAGUUGCCAUCAUUAAGUUGGGCACUCUAAGUUGACUGCCGGUGACAAACCGGAGGAAGGUGGGGAUGACGUCAAAUCAUCAUGCCCCUUAUGAUUUGGGCCACACACGUGCUACAAUGGACAAUACAAAGGGCAGCGAAACCGCGAGGUCAAGCAAAUCCCAUAAAGUUGUUCUCAGUUCGGAUUGUAGUCUGCAACUCGACUACAUGAAGCUGGAAUCGCUAGUAAUCGUAGAUCAGCAUGCUACGGUGAAUACGUUCCCGGGUCU